RNAcentral lists this ribosomal RNA (460 nucleotides) under uncultured bacterium. RNAcentral describes it as "partial 16S ribosomal RNA". It matches the Rfam family "Bacterial small subunit ribosomal RNA", at positions 338 to 795 of the family's 1533-position model. The record is from RNAcentral.
CCUACGGGGGGCAGCAGUGAGGAAUAUUGGUCAAUGGACGAGAGUCUGAACCAGCCAAGUAGCGUGAAGGAUGACUGCCCUAUGGGUUGUAAACUUCUUUUAUAUGGGAAUAAAAUGUUCCACGUGUGGGUUUUUGUAUGUACCAUAUGAAUAAGGAUCGGCUAACUCCGUGCCAGCAGCCGCGGUAAUACGGAGGAUCCGAGCGUUAUCCGGAUUUAUUGGGUUUAAAGGGAGCGUAGGUGGAUUGUUAAGUCAGUUGUGAAAGUUUGCGGCUCAACCGUAAAACUGCAGUUGAAACUGGCAGUCUUGAGUGCAGUAGAGGUGGGCGGAAUUCGUGGUGUAGCGGUGAAAUGCAUAGAUAUCACGAAGAACUCCGAUUGCGAAGGCAGCUCACUGGACUGCAACUGACACUGAGGCUCGAAAGUGUGGGUAUCAAACAGGAUUAGAUACCCUGGUAGUC